This 467-nucleotide ribosomal RNA is filed under the name uncultured bacterium. Its description in RNAcentral is "partial 16S ribosomal RNA". It matches the Rfam family "Bacterial small subunit ribosomal RNA", at positions 28 to 507 of the family's 1533-position model. The record is from RNAcentral.
GACGAACGCUGGCGGCGUGCUUAACACAUGCAAGUCGAACGGAAAGGCCUCUUUCGGGGGGUACUCGAGUGGCGAACGGGUGAGUAACACGUGAGUAACCUGCCCUUGACUUUGGGAUAACUUCAGGAAACUGGGGCUAAUACCGGAUAGGAGCUCCUGCUGCAUGGUGGGGGUUGGAAAGUUUCGGCGGUUGGGGAUGGACUCGCGGCUUAUCAGCUUGUUGGCGGGGUAGUGGCUUACCAAGGCUUUGACGGGUAGCCGGCCUGAGAGGGUGACCGGCCACAUUGGGACUGAGAUACGGCCCAGACUCCUACGGGAGGCAGCAGUGGGGAAGAUUGCACAAUGGGUGGAAGCCUGAUGCAGCAACGCCGUGUGCGGGAUGACGGCCUUCGGGUUGUAAACCGCUUUCGCUCAUGACGAAGCUUUGUGUGACGGUAGUGGGUAAAGAAGCACCGGCUAACUACGUG